AAAAUAUGGCAAGUAGCAAAAUUCUUGCAAAUUAGUAUUGAAGACUGUUUCUGAAUAGGCUCAAGUUAUUUUUAUUGUGCAAGUGCAGGUCUUUGAUAUUGAAACAUAAAAAUAAAAUUUUCUUAUCAUUUUUAAUCUUUAGUUGGCAGUUUGCUUUUUGUUGCCACUAUCCUGUGGAAAAUUUAAAUAAUGCAUUUCCUGUUACACUUUUUCUCAAUCAAGGGUUCCUGUAUGGCGG
This 238-nucleotide unclassified non-coding RNA is filed under the name Hevea brasiliensis (rubber tree). Lineage: Eukaryota; Viridiplantae; Streptophyta; Magnoliopsida; Malpighiales; Euphorbiaceae. The record is from RNAcentral.